Molecule: ribosomal RNA, 497 nt
Filed under: uncultured bacterium
Lineage: Bacteria
Description: partial 16S ribosomal RNA
Rfam family: Bacterial small subunit ribosomal RNA
Source: RNAcentral
GAUGAACGCUGGCGGCGUGCCUAAUACAUGCAAGUCGAGCGAACAGACGAGGAGCUUGCUCCUCUGACGUUAGCGGCGGACGGGUGAGUAUCACGUGGAUAACCUACCUAUAAGACUGGGAUAACUUCGGGAAACCGGAGCUAAUACCGGAUAAUAUAUUAAACCGCAUGGUUCAAUAGUGAAAGACGGUUUUGCUGUCACUUAUAGAUGGAUCCGCGCCGCAUUAGCUAGUUGGUAAGGUAACGGCUUACCAAGGCAACGAUGCGUAGCCGACCUGAGAGGGUGAUCGGCCACACUGGAACUGAGACACGGUCCAGACUCCUACGGGAGGCAGCAGUAGGGAAUCUUCCGCAAUGGGCGAAAGCCUGACGGAGCAACGCCGCGUGAGUGAUGAAGGUCUUCGGAUCGUAAAACUCUGUUAUUAGGGAAGAACAAAUGUGUAAGUAACUAUGCACGUCUUGACGGUACCUAAUCAGAAAGCCACGGCUAACUACGUG